AUACAAAGUAGACAGAAUAUCUGGAAACUUUUUGUUAUCUGCACUGCUUACACAGUGAAUGUCUGUGAUUCACGAAUGUGGGAUUUUGUAGAAGCUUGUCCUGCUGAAGAUGAGCAGUUAGGUACUGAACAGCACCACGAGGAAAGCAGUCCAUCCCAUGGCCUGGUUGUAUUCCAUUUCUACUCCUUUGUUGAUUUACUUUACCAGUCAGGGAGUGGCAGCUGAUAACAGAAGACUAAAUCAGCUGCAUCAACCCUGUCACACGGUGAAAGGUGUGUGCUGCAGCCCCUACGAACCGGAGCCAGAGCAGAUGCUGCAGAGUCUAUCGCUGGCUGGCUGCCAUUCGCUGGAGGUUUUGAUUAAUAACUUCCAAGGAAGAAAAGAAAAGACUUUUACAAUGAUGGUUUGUCUUCAGUUAUUCUGGUAAUUAUUUUUGUGAGUAGGACGUGCUAGAGAAAUGUUCUGCAUUUUGACCAAGCCAGAUUGCUUUGGAGAACAACCUUUUUAGCAACUAUUACUGCUACAUAUCACUUUUAUGAUCACAGUGAAAUCAUCUGAAAUACAACUUAUUUGUGUUGUACUGAGGUUUUCUUCUUUUUUGACGAUAUAUGUUUAUUUUUUUUUCUCCCCUAUUGAAUAAAGUUAAUGCUACUGCUUGAAGGCUGCA
RNAcentral lists this long non-coding RNA (667 nucleotides) under Anas platyrhynchos platyrhynchos (common mallard). RNAcentral's name for it is "lncRNA (ENSAPLG00000026571.1)". The record is from RNAcentral. Lineage: Eukaryota; Metazoa; Chordata; Aves; Anseriformes; Anatidae.